GAUGAACGCUGGCGGCGUGCUUAACACAUGCAAGUCGAGCGAUUCUCUUCGGAGAAGAGCGGCGGACGGGUGAGUAACGCGUGGGUAACCUGCCCUGUACACACGGAUAACAUACCGAAAGGUAUGCUAAUACGAGAUAAUAUGCUUUUAUCGCAUGAUAGAAGUAUCAAAGCUUUUGCGGUACAGGAUGGACCCGCGUCUGAUUAGCUAGUUGGUAAGGUAACGGCUUACCAAGGCGACGAUCAGUAGCCGACCUGAGAGGGUGAUCGGCCACAUUGGGACUGAGACACGGCCCAGACUCCUACGGGAGGCAGCAGUGGGGGAUAUUGCACAAUGGGCGAAAGCCUGAUGCAGCGACGCCGCGUGAGGGAAGACGGUCUUCGGAUU
Molecule: ribosomal RNA, 387 nt
Filed under: uncultured bacterium
Lineage: Bacteria
Description: bacterial SSU rRNA
Rfam family: Bacterial small subunit ribosomal RNA
Source: RNAcentral